RNAcentral lists this ribosomal RNA (468 nucleotides) under uncultured bacterium. RNAcentral describes it as "partial 16S ribosomal RNA". It matches the Rfam family "Bacterial small subunit ribosomal RNA", at positions 28 to 507 of the family's 1533-position model. The record is from RNAcentral.
GACGAACGCUGGCGGCGUGCUUAACACAUGCAAGUCGAACGGUGAAGCUCCAGCGUGCUGGUGUGGAUCAGUGGCGAACGGGUGAGUAACACGUGAGCAACCUGCCCCAGACUGUGGAAUAAGCGCUGGAAACGGCGUCUAAUACUGGAUACGAGAUCAAGCCGCAUGGAUGUGGUCGGAAAAGUUUUUCGGUUUGGGAUGGGCUCGCGGCCUAUCAGCUUGUUGGUGAGGUAAUGGCUCACCAAGGCGACGACGGGUAGCCGGCCUGAGAGGGCGACCGGCCACACUGGGACUGAGACACGGCCCAGACUCCUACGGGAGGCAGCAGUGGGGAAUAUUGCACAAUGGGCGAAAGCCUGAUGCAGCGACGCCGCGUGAGGGAUGACGGCCUUCGGGUUGUAAACCUCUUUCAGCAGGGAAGAAGCGAAAGUGACGGUACCUGCAGAAGAAGCACCGGCUAACUACGUG